Molecule: ribosomal RNA, 485 nt
Filed under: uncultured fungus
Lineage: Eukaryota; Fungi
Description: eukaryotic LSU rRNA
Rfam family: 5.8S ribosomal RNA (bases 124-277)
Source: RNAcentral
UCAAACCGCGAACUUCUAAACCUUUGACGAUUGACUCAUGUUGCCUCGGCGGGUGCUCCCGCCAGAGGAUACAUCAAAACUCCUGUUUUAACGGUGUUGUCUGAGCUACAAGCAACGAAUCAAAACUUUCAACAACGGAUCUCUUGGUUCUGGCAUCGAUGAAGAACGCAGCGAAAUGCGAUAAGUAGUGUGAAUUGCAGAAUUCAGUGAAUCAUCGAAUCUUUGAACGCACAUUGCGCCCCUUGGUAUCCCGAGGGGCAUGCCUGUUCGAGCGUCAUUUCACCACUCAAGCCUGGCUUGGUGUUGGGCGACGUCCCCUUUGGGGACGCGCCUCGAAACGCUCGGCGGCGUGGCACCGGCUUUAAGCGUAGCAGAAUCUUUCGCUUUGAAAGUCGGGGCCCCGUCUGCCGGAAGACCUACUCGCAAGGUUGACCUCGGAUCAGGCAGGGAUACCCGCUGAACUUAAGCAUAUCAAUAAGCGGAGG